Molecule: long non-coding RNA, 376 nt
Organism: Cyprinodon tularosa
Lineage: Eukaryota; Metazoa; Chordata; Actinopteri; Cyprinodontiformes; Cyprinodontidae
Exons: 3
Source: RefSeq, a predicted model, not a curated record
UUCCUCCUUUCAAGCAUCUGAAAGUUCCUGAAACUUAAAUUGAAAUGUUGCUAACAGUCUGUUUUGCAGCAAUUAGGUCCUGAAUGUCAACCAUCGGGUCCAGUUAGCCUCUGGUCAUUUCGCAGCAUCUGGUUCCGGACAUGAGGCCAUAAUGAUGUUCCUCCGAUGUAAACCUCACAGAACGUUGUGGAAAAAAGAAGAAAAAACAGAAGGCACCUGGCUCCGGUUCGCCUUCUCACGUACCUGCAAGCCUUUACCUCAUCAUCGGACUGCUCUUAAGCUGCUGGUUGCCACUACUUCGACGCCAGAGUGUUUGCCAUUUUGGGGAAGCCUUCCUGCAAACUGGACCCUUUUGGACCGCCUCCUCCCAAGUGGG